UGAAGAAGAAGAAUCAUUUAAUGUAGUUUGAAGACAUUAGUUUAACUGUUUUGUUUUCUGCGCUGUAAUGUGCUGCAUUUUCUCUAUUUUACAUCACAGGGGACGGCAUGGCGGUGUUGGGAGAGUGGCUGUGCCACCAAACUGAGGGUUCCUGGUUCGAUCCUCACCUUCUACAAACCUCGCAAGACACUUCAUCCUUGCUCCUGAUGGGUCGUGGUGAAUGUGGAAAUAGUGUCAAAGCGCUUUGAGUACCUUGAAGGUAGAAAAGCGCUAUAUAAGUAUAACCCAUUAUACCAUUUUUUUUUUUAAAGCACUCUUUGGGAGGAGCCCGCAUGGACCCCAUGUGACCCCAAGAUGGAGGAAACAGGAGAAAGACGUGCAGUUUUAGGAGUUUGUUACUCGCAGAGCGGCAAUGAGCUGUUGGUCCACUAAGAUCGGACCCCGGGCGGGCCGGCGGAGCUGUCCAGUGACGACUGAGAAGCUCGUCGUGUGAGGGAGGCCAGAGUCGGAUCCACCAGAGAAGAAGGGCCACUGAUUUGAGAAGUGCUGCGACUCCUGCGGCUGCCAACAAUGGCCACCACGCGGGCGCUCAGACUGGAUCGUCUCCUCUUGCUGCCUGCGCCCACUGUGCCCAACGCUGUGUCUGAUUGGCUGCCAUCAGUGCGCUCCUGGCUGUAGAUCUCGCCGCUCACGCUGGAGCUCUUCAGCAUGCUGCGUCCCGCCGAUGCACGCAUCUGCCGACUGCAGGAAGAAGACGCUGAGGCACUCUGCACUGCCGCCUCGGAUUGACCUGUGCAUCUCCAGGACCUCACUGUCAUUGCCGUGACGAUGGGUGAACGAAUGAAAAAACACAACAGAAGAGGAUGGCAACUCAGAAAGGCAUGUGAUUUUUUUAUGAAUGGGGGAAAAAACCAAUGAAAUAAAUAAUUCUGAGGUAUCACAUUUAGGUCAAGUUUCAUUAAACAAUACACAUUAGACUGACACGGUUAGUAGUGUUAGUAAAUGUUAGUUUGCAAUAUCACAUAAUACAGUGCACAAAAUGUAUCUUUUAGAUAUUACUCGUCUAUUUUGUCAUAGUUUAUCAAUAAGUGACUCGUUUAAUGUAAUCCCCCAGGUUGCCAUACUCCCUAAAACAGGUUACCUGUCUUCGGAGUACUCGAAGUCCGAAUCACCAGACCGUUGGUGCUCCAAAUGGGAGUCGUGGUAGUGGGACGGGGAUUGGGAGUGGUGCCGAUUCUGGUGGAUCUCAUCCAGGCUCCUGAUGUGAAUAAAAACUGAAUUAUUGUCAAGUAUAAGCGAUCAAAGAAUGAAAAUGUCUGGAUCUUGUAGUUGAUUAAGUGGAUGCAAUUGUUACGGCUCAGGCUCCUGCCGCCUCUCAUUUCAUCUGUGUGCGCCUUUCGACAUGCCCACGGGCGUUCCGCACCUGGCACGGCAAUCUAAAACCAACACACCUGACUCCACUCCCUUCAUAAGCCAGCGCAUCCUGCGUUCCGGUGCCAGAACGUAGCUACCUGUUUUAUUACUGUAAGCCUACACGUCUCUCCCUAUGUGCUCAUCGUCUUGAAGUUAAAGUUAAAGUUAAAAGUACCAAUGAUUGUCACACACACACGAGGUGUGGCGAAAAUAUUCUCUGCAUUUGACCUAUCACCCUUGAUCACCCCCUGGGAGGUGAGGGGAGCAGUGGCAAGCAGCAUUGGCCGCGCUCGGGAAUAAUUUUGGUGAUUUAACCCCCAAUUCCAAACCUUGAUGCUGAGUGCCAAGCAGAGAGGUAAUGGGUCCCAUUUUUAUAGUCUUUGGUAUGACUCGGCCGGGGUUUGAACUCACAACCUACCGAUCUCAGGGCGGACACUCUAACCACUAGGCCACUGAGUCUUGUGUCCUGUGUCGUCAUCCCGCAGCGUUCCCCCAUUUCCUGGUUUGGAGUUGUGUGUCUCGUCUCCCUGGAUUCCCCGCUGCCUUCCUGGAUCUCGACCUCACGCCCGGACACAGACCUUGACGCCUCGCUCCUGCCUUUGACCUCUCGCUUGCCCACGGACCUCCGAUCUUGCUCCAAAUAACUCUAAAAUUAAGUCUUUCUUACUUAGAAUAUGUUCCCCAUACUAAAGUGUUACCAAAUAAACCAAAUAUAUAUUAUCACACAACUUUAGUAUGCUUAAAGUCCGUUGCUAUAGUUAUUAGCUAUUGUGCUCAAGCUGUAUUUUUCCUCUCUGUGCAAGGACAAAACUUCUUGUCUGAGGGGUGGCCUCAGACAAGAAGAUCUUUGUUUUAGCCCGCUAACAGCCAAGGACUUCAAGGACCUCAACGCAGAUAAGACGACAGCACGCAGACGAAGCAGAGACAAGGCCCCCAGCACAUUCCGUCACGUAUUGUGCGUACUGGACCUGCUUUGCAUGAUAUAUGUGACCACUCCUCUUAGAGGCGGCCUCAGUGAUGUUGACUAGGGAACUCCUGAAUAAAUAGAGGGACGCGGGGGCCGUACCUUAGAGCAGUGGUUCUCAAAAGGGGGUACGCGUACCCCUGGGGGUACUUGAAGGUAUGCCAACGGGUACGUGAGAUUUUUUUUAAACGUCUGUCAAAAAGAACUGUGAAAAGAAAUGCAACAAUGCAAUAUUCAAUGUUGACAGCUAGAUUUUUUGUGGACAUGUUCCAUAAAUAUUGAUGUUAAAGAUUUCUUUUUUUGUGAAGAAAUGUUUAGAAUUAAGUUCAUGAAUCCAGAUGGAUCUCUAUUACAAUCCCCAAAGAGGGCACUUUAUGUUGAUGAUUACUUCUAUGUGUAGAAAUCUUUAUUUAUAAUUGAAUCACUUGUUUAUUUUUCAACAAGUUUUUAGCUAUUUUUAUAUGUUUUUAUCCAAAUAGUUCAAGAAAGACCACAACAAAUGAUCAAUAUUUU
Molecule: long non-coding RNA, 2890 nt
Organism: Entelurus aequoreus (snake pipefish)
Lineage: Eukaryota; Metazoa; Chordata; Actinopteri; Syngnathiformes; Syngnathidae
Exons: 5
Source: RefSeq, a predicted model, not a curated record